Molecule: non-coding RNA, 46 nt
Organism: Strongyloides stercoralis
Lineage: Eukaryota; Metazoa; Nematoda; Chromadorea; Rhabditida; Strongyloididae
Source: Rfam
CCAACGGCCCUCUUUAGGGCCACCCAUUUUAAAUUUAUUUUUUCUU